This 212-nucleotide long non-coding RNA is filed under the name Vitis vinifera (wine grape). RNAcentral's name for it is "long non-coding RNA (VVIN_LNC002424)". Lineage: Eukaryota; Viridiplantae; Streptophyta; Magnoliopsida; Vitales; Vitaceae. The record is from RNAcentral.
AUACUUUGAACGACUAAGGCAAAGGACUAUGAGGCUCCAAAGCUUGGUUUCUUCAUGAAUUUGAGCUUCCAAAAGCUUUGCCAUGAACUAUAUACAGCUCUCCCUCAUUCUUAAAUUGCUUUGGUGAGCAAAAAGCUAUCAAAAACACCAAAACUUAACACAAUUUGAUUAGAAACGAUUGCAAGGGUCCCUAACAUGCCAAUUGAGUUAAA